RNAcentral lists this non-coding RNA (30 nucleotides) under Mus musculus (house mouse). Lineage: Eukaryota; Metazoa; Chordata; Mammalia; Rodentia; Muridae. The record is from RNAcentral.
UAGAAAGACUCUAGGAGAGCAAGAAUGCCC